RNAcentral lists this ribosomal RNA (465 nucleotides) under Vreelandella stevensii. Its description in RNAcentral is "partial 16S ribosomal RNA". It matches the Rfam family "Bacterial small subunit ribosomal RNA", at positions 338 to 795 of the family's 1533-position model. Lineage: Bacteria; Pseudomonadati; Pseudomonadota; Gammaproteobacteria; Oceanospirillales; Halomonadaceae. The record is from RNAcentral.
CCUACGGGUGGCAGCAGUGGGGAAUAUUGGACAAUGGGUGGAACCCUGAUCCAGCCAUGCCGCGUGUGUGAAGAAGGCCCUCGGGUUGUAAAGCACUUUCAGUGAGGAAGAACGCCUGGUGGUUAAUACCCAUCAGGAAAGACAUCACUCACAGAAGAAGCACCGGCUAACUCCGUGCCAGCAGCCGCGGUAAUACGGAGGGUGCGAGCGUUAAUCGGAAUUACUGGGCGUAAAGCGCGCGUAGGUGGCUUGAUAAGCCGGUUGUGAAAGCCCCGGGCUCAACCUGGGAACGGCAUCCGGAACUGUCAAGCUAGAGUGCAGGAGAGGAAGGUAGAAUUCCCGGUGUAGCGGUGAAAUGCGUAGAGAUCGGGAGGAAUACCAGUGGCGAAGGCGGCCUUCUGGACUGACACUGACACUGAGGUGCGAAAGCGUGGGUAGCAAACAGGAUUAGAUACCCUGGUAGUC